AUACGGAGGAUCCGAGCGUUAUCCGGAUUUAUUGGGUUUAAAGGGUGCGCAGGCGGCCAUUUAAGUCAGCGGUUAAAUCGUGGGGCUCAACCCCAUUCUGCCGUUGAUACUGGGUGGCUUGAUUGCGGUCGAGGUUGGCGGAAUUCGUUGUAUAGCGGUGAAAUGCAUAGAUAUGACGAAGAACACCGAUUGCGUAGGCAGCUGACCAGACCGCAAAUGACGCUCAUGCACGAAAGUGCGGGGAUCGAACAGGAUUAGAUACCCUGGUAGUCCGCACAGUAAACGAUGAAUACUUGUUUUCGGCGAUAUAAUGUCGGAGGCAAAGCGAAAGCGAUAAGUAUUCCACCUGGGGAGUACGCCGGCAACGGUGAAACUCAAAUGAAUUGGCGGGG
This 392-nucleotide ribosomal RNA is filed under the name uncultured bacterium. RNAcentral describes it as "partial 16S ribosomal RNA". It matches the Rfam family "Bacterial small subunit ribosomal RNA", at positions 523 to 918 of the family's 1533-position model. The record is from RNAcentral.